This 467-nucleotide ribosomal RNA is filed under the name uncultured bacterium. RNAcentral describes it as "partial 16S ribosomal RNA". It matches the Rfam family "Bacterial small subunit ribosomal RNA", at positions 28 to 507 of the family's 1533-position model. The record is from RNAcentral.
GACGAACGCUGGCGGCGUGCUUAACACAUGCAAGUCGAACGAUGAAGCACAGCUUGCUGGGUGGAUUAGUGGCGAACGGGUGAGUAACACGUGAGCAACGUGCCCGCGACUCUGGAAUAACUACCGGAAACGGUGGCUAAUACUGGAUAUGUGCUAGGGAGGCAUCUCCUCUGGUUGGAAAGAUUUUUCGGUUUCGGAUCGGCUCACGGCCUAUCAGCUUGUUUGUGGGGUAAUGGCCUACCAAGGCGACGACGGGUAGCCGGCCUGGGAGGGUGACCGGCCACACUGGGACUGAGACACGGCGCAGACGCCUACGGGAGGCAGCAGUGGGGAAUAUUGCACAAUGGGCGCAAGCCUGAUGCAGCAACGCCGCGUGAGGGAUGACGGCCUUCGGGUUGUAAACCUCUUUUAGUAGGGAAGAAGCGCAAGUGACGGUACCUGCAGAAAAAGCACCGGCUAACUACGUG